Molecule: long non-coding RNA, 2016 nt
Organism: Pseudopipra pipra
Lineage: Eukaryota; Metazoa; Chordata; Aves; Passeriformes; Pipridae
Exons: 2
Source: RefSeq, a predicted model, not a curated record
CCCGUUGGAUUCCUGCUUUGAUUGUGCAGGCACAGGUGCUGGGGCUGUGCCAGGCGCGUGGAGCGAGCGGAGGUGGCAGAGGGAUUGCUGCCAUGCUUCCAAAAUGCCCGUGCUGGGCACUGCUAGGAAGCUCACCUUUCACGUGGCAGCCCCAGGAAUAACUCGGAGCCUUUGGAUGAUCACAGCUGCCUGGAACCCCAAGGGGAAAAAUCAGUGUCCUGGGAUAACCCUCAGUGCCAGGCUGGCUGACCUCAUGGGAAACCCAUUUUCUGGGGCAACAAAGACCUAUUAAAACAUAUGGAUUGGGAACUUAUUUUGGGAUGGGUAGUGCAGCUUGGUCAAGCUCCUGAACUUGUGGAGAAGGGACCUGAGAGGGGCUGUGUGCCUUUGGGGGCACAACAUCUGUCAGGCUUGUUUCCUCUCCAGCCACAGCACAGCAGGGGACACGGUGCUGGACAUUGUCACUACCCAGCACAGUGACACGGCAGAGCCCCAGGAGAGAGCCGUGCUCGAGGCAGGGUGUCCUGCUCCGUGCUGGGGGCUCAGCUGGCCCUGGACCCCCACAUUCCCCAUUGUGCCAAGAAGGAUGCUCAGGAGAAGCAGCUCCAGCUGGCUGGAGACAGGCAAAGGAACCCUUUCUGGGGCAGGUAAGGGGUUCUUUGCUGAGGGACAGCACUGGGACAUCACAGCCACAGGAACCCAGUGCCCUCUGCAAGCUGCACCUUGUCCAGCAAAGGUGUGGUGAGUGGUGAGCCCUGGCAACUCCACCACUUGCCUGUGAAAGGAAGGCCUUUUAUCCCCCCAAAAAACACAGCUCCCAACGGCCAAGCAGUCCCCAGUUAGCCCCUGGCUAUACCCCCAAGGUCUGAGAUGCUAAGAAUACAUUUUGGAGAGCUACAAAUAACCAGGAGGAUGAAUUGACCCUUCCUUACGGCCCCACCACCAUAGAAACAGGAGCCAAACAAACAGGCACGAGCCAGCCCUGUUAGCAGAGCAAAGGCAUGUGCUUUGUUAGUCUAUCCCCUGCUUCCCUUGUUAAUUGCUUUGUUCCUUCUCAGAUUAAUUGAUGAAUUGCUGUGUGGACAUGCAAUGCCUGGCCUUGCAGCCACGUGGUGUGUGUAACCCUUUGGCCUCUGUGGAUAUGUGGGCACACACAGCAUGGGGACAUCCUCCCCUUCCUUGUGUGCCCAGCUGGAGUUGAGCAGCUCCUGCCUGAGGAACUUGGAAAGGUGUUCAUGUUGCAGGUUUGACUGUGAGCAGAAAUAAAGGUCAAAUAGUGAAAUUAAAACUGUGAUGUCAGUCCCGGCUUUCCACCCAGCAGUUUUUGUGCCUUCCCGGAGGAAAGUACUCUGGAAAGAACUGGUUUCCUACCCUGCACCGUGGCAUCAGCUUGGACCUGGCUCCAUCCCUCCCUUCCCUGCCCACCAGCCCGACGGGCUCCUCCCAGAGCAGCCCCGAUGUUCCUGAUCACCCAGGUUCGGCCGCGCUAGUCAGAAAAGUCCCCGGAGGCCAGAGGUGGUGCAAUAACACCUAAAAAUACCCGAGCAGCCCCGGUUUCCGUCAUCCUCCAGAGGCAUCUGUGUAUUGUGUGUGCGGGGAGAGCAGGACGGGGAGAAACCGGCCAUAAAUCCUGCCGGGCUCCUCUCUCGGCUGCUCCCUCUCCCUCCCACCGACGGCGGCCGUCCCGGGGCUGUCUGGCAGGCGCGAUUCCCGGCUGUCAUCGGCGGAUCAGACGGCGCUGAAAUUCGACAGGCCUGUGGAAAAACACGGGGUGACAUCACGCAGAGACACCAUCCCACUGAUUAAUCUCCGCGAGACCCACCUGGGAGCCUGCUUGCCAGAAGGAGAAAUGGCACAAGAGGAAAUACAUCUUCACAGCCUCGAGAGAGGAGAAGGUUGGAAUCCGAGUCCAUAAACAGCAUUACUGUGCACUGAGCAAAGGCAGAGCAGGUUGGGCUCUGGAGAGUGUAACCCCACCUCUGCUGCUCCAAUGCCAAUUAAAAAUAAAACAGAGGA